Long non-coding RNA from Salmo trutta (river trout), 2882 nucleotides. Ensembl annotates it as trichohyalin-like. NCBI's taxonomy places the organism in Eukaryota, Metazoa, Chordata, Actinopteri, Salmoniformes, Salmonidae. The record is from Ensembl.
AGCAAGGUGGGCAUGCUGCAGUUGUUUGUGCGGGACCUGAGUGAGCAGAAUGAGGUUCUGAUCCAGGCGCUGGAGGCUGAGGAGGCGGAGGACCGGGUGGUGGAGGGGAGAACAGUCAGCCUUCACAAAGAGCUGGAGCGGCGCCUAUCCUUGGCUCUGUGCCCGAUGCCAGUGGACCUCGUGGGAACCACGGCAACGUUCUUCCGGACCCCGUGGAGGAGCGUGAAGCCCAGGUCCAGGAGCUGCAGGACACCAUCACAGAGCUGCACCAGGAGAUGACCAGGAAGGACCAGGACACGCUGACACAGCUGCAGGACACCAUCACAGAGCUGCACCAGGAGAUGACCAGGAAGUACCAGGACACGCUGACACAGCUGCAGGACACCAUCACAGAGCUGCACCAAGAGAUGACCAGGAAGGACCAGGACACGCUGACACAGCUGCAGGACACCAUCACAGAGCUGCACCAGGAGAUGACCAGGAAGUACCAGGACACGCUGACACAGCUGCAGGACACCAUCACAGAGCUGCACCAGGAGAUGACCAGGAAGGACCAGGACACGCUGACACAGCUGCAGGACACCAUCACAGAGCUGCACCAGGAGAUGACCAGGAAGUACCAGGACACGCUGACACAGCUGCAGGACACCAUCACAGAGCUGCACCAGGAGAUGACCAGGAAGGACCAGGACACGCUGACACAGCUGCAGGACACCAUCACAGAGCUGCACCAGGAGAUGACCAGGAAGUACCAGGACACGCUGACACAGCUGCAGGACACCAUCACAGAGCUGCACCAGGAGAUGACCAGGAAGGACCAGGACACGCUGACACAGCUGCAGGACACCAUCACAGAGCUGCACCAGGAGAUGACCAGGAAGUACCAGGACACGCUGACACAGCUGCAGGACACCAUCACAGAGCUGCACCAGGAGAUGACCAGGAAGGACCAGGACACGCUGACACAGCUGCAGGACACCAUCACAGAGCUGCACCAGGAGAUGACCAGGAAGUACCAGGACACGCUGACACAGCUGCAGGACACCAUCACAGAGCUGCACCAGGAGAAGGACCAGGACACGCUGACACAGCUGCAGGACACCAUCACAGAGCUGCACCAGGAGAUGACCAGGAAGUACCAGGACACGCUGACACAGCUGCAGGACACCAUCACAGAGCUGCACCAGGAGAUGACCAGGAAGUACCAGGACACGCUGACACAGCUGCAGGACACCAUCACAGAGCUGCACCAGGAGAUGACCAGGAAGGACCAGGACACGCUGACACAGCUGCAGGACACCAUCACAGAGCUGCACCAGGAGAUGACCAGGAAGGACCAGGACACGCUGACACAGCUGCAGGAGCUCCACCAGCUGGAGAGCAGGGUGAAGCAGCUCACUGACCAGGUCAGGAGCUCCGAGGAGACCAUAGGCCAGCUGAGACAGGAGGUGGCUGUUAGAGUGGGCAUCAGCAGCGCUACCCUGUCUGGGGACGUGAGCACAGCAGGGAAAGGGAGUACUACUGACUCGACAGGAUCCAGUCCAGUCCCACACCUUACAGAACAGAGGGGCAGAGAACUGCUGAAGACUGAGUUAUCACGUUGGGACGCAACCAUCCAGAGGCUCCAGCGAGAUGUGCUGCUCUCCCACCAGGCCCGCGACUCCCAGUCUGCUCAGCUGGAUGUCCAUGGGCAGAGGAUCUCUCAGCUGCAGACGGAGCUACAGGAGAGACAACUGGAGCUCCAGAGGGGACACAGCCGAAGAGAGCAGCAGCAGAGGGACCUGCAGACCCAGACACAGCAGGCAGAGGAGCUCCACACUCAGCUGGCUGAGGUCAAAGGGCGUCUUGUGCAGGUGGAGGGAGAAAAUGUGGCACUCAUGGGAUAUAAGCUGGAGCUGAGAGCCGAGGCUAAGGAGCAGACCCAAAAGUUCCAGGACACGGUGUCCAGUCUGAAGAGCCAGCAUGGCUGUGUUAGUCAGCAGCUGCAGGACAGGAGUGCUGAGGUGCAGAGGCUCCAGAGGUCAUUGGCUGAGCUACAUGGGCGAGAGAUGGAGUGGGAGAGAGAGACAUCCGCCCUGCAGGGCCAGCUGGGCCUUGCCAGAGAGGAGCUCCACAGCGCCAUCCUCAGGAGGCAGGCACAGCAGCAGAAGGAAGAGCUGUUUGGUGAGCUGCAGAGGGAGGUGGACAGACUGAAGAAUGAGAGACAGGAGAUGCGAAAAAAGCUUUGUGGUAGAGAAGAGGAGCUGAAGAGGCUGAGAGACGAGCAGCAUCAGCUCAAGGACAAGGUGAGGGAGAGCGAUGUGCAGGCUGUGUGGCUGCAGAGCCAGGCAGACGUGGUGGGUCGGGAGCUGUGGGAGGAGAGUGCCCAGCGCGACAGGGAGCUGUGGGAGUGGAGGGACCGCUACCAUGCUGUCUCAGAGGGACUGAGGUUGAGGGAGGCUGGGCUUGAGGAGGUGCAGAGGGCCAGGGACACAGCCCUCAGAAGCCUGAGAUUACAGGAGGAGAAGACCCACAGUCUGGGGGCCCAGAGGCAGGAGAUGCAGCACAGCCUGGAGGGCCUACAGGACAGGCUUGCCCAGAAGGAGGAGAUGGUCGUGGCUCUCAGAGUGAAGCUGCAGGACCAUGAAGAAGACGCCCGUGUUCUCCGCCAACAGCUGCUCUCCUCCCAAGAUGCACUGCAGCAAGUUACUGCCGAGCUGAGGUCAUGUAAAAGAGAGAGGGAGAAGCAGGAUAGCCAGUGUGUGGAGACAGAGGAGAGACUGGCUGAGAUCAGAGCUGAUCUGGUCCAACUACAGCAGCAGUAUACCACCUGCUAUGCCCAGCUGGUCCAGGAGGAGGCUGGGGUGGGCAGGCUGAGGGAGGAGCUGCGACCUGAGCCAUGA